UGAGGAUGAUAAGGAUGAGGAUGAUGAGGAUGAUGAUGAAGAUGAUGAUGAUGAUGAGGAUGAUGAUGAGGAUGAUGAGGAUGAGGAUGAUGAUGAUGAUGAUGAUGGUGAUGAUGAUGAUGAUGGUGAUGAGGAUGAUGAUGAGGAUGAUGAUGAUGAUGAUGAGGAUGAUGAUGACGAGGAUGAUGAUGAGGAUGAUGAGGAUGAGGAUGAUGAUGAUGAUCAUGAGGAUGAUGAUGAUGAUGAUGGUGAUGAUGAUGAUGUGAUGAUGAGGAUGAUGAUGAUGAUGAUGAUGAUGAUGAUGAUGGUGAUGAUGAUGAUGAUGAUGAUGAUGAUGAUGAUGAUGAUGAUGAUGAUGAUGAUGAGGAUGAUGAUGAGGAUGAUGAGGAUGAGGAUGAUGAUGAUGAUGAUGAUGAUGAUGAUGAUGAUGAUGAGGAUGAUGAGGAUGAUGAUGAUGAUGAUGAUGAUGAUGAUGAUGAUGAUGAGGAUGAUGAUGAGGAUGAUGAGAUGGAUGAUGAUGAUGAUGA
Ictalurus punctatus (channel catfish) is the source of this 527-nucleotide long non-coding RNA. Lineage: Eukaryota; Metazoa; Chordata; Actinopteri; Siluriformes; Ictaluridae. The record is from Ensembl.